CUGGUGCCAGCAGCCGCGGUAAUUCCAGCUCCAAUAGCGUAUAUUAAAGUUGUUGCAGUUAAAAGNUCGUAGUUGAAUUUCGGGAUUGACACAUCGGUCGUGCCUUAAGGGGUAUGAACUGGUGUAGUCAAUUUCUCACCUUCUGGAGAACCGCGAUGCCCUUAAUUGGGUGUCACGGGGAACCAGGACCUUACUUUGAAAAAAUUAGAGUGUUUAAAGCAGGCAUUUUGCUUGAAUACAUUAGCAUGGAAUAAUAAAAUAGGACGGCAUGAUUCUAUUUUAGUUGGUUUCUAGGAUCACCGUAAUGAUUAAUAGGGAUAUUGGGGGCAUUAGUAUUCAAUUGUCAGAGGUGAAAUUCUUGGAUUUAUUGAAGACUAACUGCUGCGAAAGCAUUUGCCAAGGAUGUUUUCAUUAAUCAAGAACGAAAGUUUAGGGGGAUCGAAGACGAUCAGGUACCGUCGUAGUCUUAACCAUAAACUAUGCCGACUAGGAAUCAGACGAUGUUAAUUUUUUAAUGACUCGUUUGGCACCUUACG
Molecule: ribosomal RNA, 536 nt
Filed under: uncultured Entrophospora
Lineage: Eukaryota; Fungi; Glomeromycota; Glomeromycetes; Entrophosporales; Entrophosporaceae
Description: SSU rRNA
Rfam family: Eukaryotic small subunit ribosomal RNA
Source: RNAcentral